This 235-nucleotide long non-coding RNA is filed under the name Mytilus galloprovincialis (Mediterranean mussel). Lineage: Eukaryota; Metazoa; Mollusca; Bivalvia; Mytilida; Mytilidae. The record is from RNAcentral.
AAAAAGAAACGAGACACAUUUAUGAACUGUAUCAACAACCGACAACUACUGAACAUCAGAUUCCGGACUUAGUGCAGGUGGAAACAAAUGCAGUAGGGUUAAAAAAAAACAACUAUAAGUACCAACCUCCACCCUUAUCUGAAACAAUAUUGUAAUAUUACAACAUAGAAUACACACUAUAAAAUAUUAAUUUAAAUGGCUCAACUCAAUCAGAAGACAUAUUAAUGCAAGUGAA